GAGGGCAAGUUUGGUGCCAGCAGCCGCGGUAAUUCCAGCUCCAAUAGCGUAUAUUAAAGUUGUUGCAGUUAAAAAGCUUGUAGUUGGAUUUUUGUUAAUAUUUUAUAUUAUUAAUUAUUAUUAUUAAUAUAAUAUUAACAUAAUUCAUAUUACUUUUUUUAAGUAUAUGAAAUUUUACUUUGAGAAAAUUAGAGUGCUUAAAGCAGGCUUUUGCCUUGAAUACUCCAGCAUGGAAUAAUAUUAAAGAUUUUUAUCUUUCUUAUUGGUUCUAAGAUAGAAAUAAUGAUUAAUAGGGACAGUUGGGGGCAUUUGUAUUUAACAGUCAGAGGUGAAAUUCUUAGAUUUGUUAAAGACAAACUAAUGCGAAAGCAUUUGCCAAGGAUGUUUUCAUUAAUCAAGAACGAAAGUUAGGGGAUCGAAGACGAUCAGAUACCGUCGUAGUCUUAACCAUAAACUAUGCCAACUA
This 466-nucleotide ribosomal RNA is filed under the name Cryptosporidium sp. RNAcentral's name for it is "SSU rRNA". It matches the Rfam family "Eukaryotic small subunit ribosomal RNA", at positions 551 to 1048 of the family's 1831-position model. The record is from RNAcentral. Lineage: Eukaryota; Apicomplexa; Conoidasida; Eucoccidiorida; Cryptosporidiidae.